Non-coding RNA from Fukomys damarensis (Damara mole-rat), 129 nucleotides. NCBI's taxonomy places the organism in Eukaryota, Metazoa, Chordata, Mammalia, Rodentia, Bathyergidae. The record is from Rfam.
GUCUACGGCUAUACCUCCCUGAAUGUGCCUGAUCUCCUCUGAUCUCUGAGGCUAAGCAGGAUCGGGUCUGGUUAGUUUUUGGAUGGGAGAAUGACUACAUGAAAUGUGUAUUUUCAGGUGAGGGUGUCU